This is a long non-coding RNA of Vidua macroura (Pin-tailed whydah), 397 nucleotides long. RefSeq lists it as uncharacterized. The record is from RefSeq and is a predicted model, not a curated record. NCBI's taxonomy places the organism in Eukaryota, Metazoa, Chordata, Aves, Passeriformes, Viduidae. The transcript is spliced from 4 exons.
GAGCAAUGUGAGGGAUGUCACUAUGGAGUUAAAACAAGUCUCUGGUGAAGUCAUGUGUGUGUUUACAAUGAGGCUUCCCUGCUCUUAAUGGAUCUCUCCUGAGAGCAACUAUUCCCUGUUUCAUUCCAAACCUGUGUCUGGAGAAUUGGAAUAUUCUCCAUGCCUCUACUUGGAACAACAGAGCUUUCAUGAAAAGCCAAGUUAAUUUCUGUUUAUCCUGGUUAAAUGCCAAGAACUACAGCACACUUAGGAAGAAAUUAUCAAUCAAAUAAUCAACAUGUUAAUUGAACAAGAAAGACUCUCACCUCCACGAUUUCAGUGCUCGAAUACCGCGUCAAAAUGUGCUCUGCUGGAUGCACCACUGAGACUUGGAUAAACGUAUUCAGCUUCCGAUCAC